GGUGAACACCGUGCCACCGCUGUCGGUAGUCCGGUGGGGGCAGGCGUGGUCCGGAUUUAUUGGGCGGCAAGGGCGUGUAGGCGGGCUGGAAGGUCAGCUGUGAAAACUCGAGGCUCAACCUCGAGACGUCGGUGGAAACCACCUGGCUAGAGUCCGGAAGAGGAGAGUGGAAUUCCCGGUGUAGCGGUGAAAUGCGCAGAUAUCGGGAAGAACACCCGUGGCGAAGGCGGCUCUCUGGGACGGUACUGACGCUGAGACGCGAAAGCGUGGGGAGCGAACAGGAUUAGAUACCCGAGUAGC
This 300-nucleotide ribosomal RNA is filed under the name uncultured Lactobacillus sp. Its description in RNAcentral is "bacterial SSU rRNA". It matches the Rfam family "Bacterial small subunit ribosomal RNA", at positions 495 to 794 of the family's 1533-position model. Lineage: Bacteria; Bacillati; Bacillota; Bacilli; Lactobacillales; Lactobacillaceae. The record is from RNAcentral.